RNAcentral lists this ribosomal RNA (433 nucleotides) under uncultured bacterium. RNAcentral describes it as "partial 16S ribosomal RNA". It matches the Rfam family "Bacterial small subunit ribosomal RNA", at positions 29 to 507 of the family's 1533-position model. The record is from RNAcentral.
AACGAACGCUGGCGGCAUGCCUAACACAUGCAAGUCGAACGAGACCUUCGGGUCUAGUGGCGCACGGGUGCGUAACGCGUGGGAACCUGCCCUUAGGUUCGGAAUAACUCCCCGAAAGGGGUGCUAAUACCGGAUAAUGUCUUCGGACCAAAGAUUUAUCGCCUUUGGAUGGGCCCGCGUUGGAUUAGCUAGUUGGUAGGGUAAAAGCCUACCAAGGCGACGAUCCAUAGCUGGUCGGAGAGGAUGAUCAGCCACACUGGGACUGAGACACGGCCCAGACUCCUACGGGAGGCAGCAGUGGGGAAUAUUGGACGAUGGGCGAAAGCCUGAUCCAGCAAUGCCGCGUGAGUGAUGAAGGCCUUAGGGUUGUAAAGCUCUUUUACCCGGGAUGAUAAUGACAGUACCGGGAGAAUAAGCUCCGGCUAACUCCGUG